ACUCCUACGGGAGGCAGCAGUGGGGAAUAUUGCACAAUGGGCGCAAGCCUGAUGCAGCCAUGCCGCGUGUAUGAAGAAGGCCUUCGGGUUGUAAAGUACUUUCAGCAGUGAGGAAGGUGGAUAUGUUAAUAGCAUAUUCAUUUGACGUUAGCUGCAGAAGAAGCACCGGCUAACUCCGUGCCAGCAGCCGCGGUAAUACGGAGGGUGCGAGCGUUAAUCGGAAUUACUGGGCGUAAAGCGCAUGCAGGUGGUUGUUAAGUCAGAUGUGAAAGCCCGGGGCUCAACCUCGGAAUUGCAUUUGAAACUGGCAAACUAGAGUACUGUANAGGGGGUAGAAUUUCAGGUGUAGCGGUGAAAUGCGUAGAGAUCUGAAGGAAUACCGGUGGCGAAGGCGGCCCCCUGGACAGAUACUGACACUCAGAUGCGAAAGCUGGGGAGCAAACAGGAUUAGAUACCCUGGUAGGCUCAGC
RNAcentral lists this ribosomal RNA (470 nucleotides) under uncultured bacterium. RNAcentral describes it as "bacterial SSU rRNA". It matches the Rfam family "Bacterial small subunit ribosomal RNA", at positions 335 to 800 of the family's 1533-position model. The record is from RNAcentral.